GUGAGGAAUAUUGGACAAUGGGUGGAAGCCUGAUCCAGCCAUCCCGCGUGUAGGACGACUGCCUUAUGGGUUGUAAACUACUUUUAUCUGGGGAUAAACCUACUCACGUGUGAGUAGCUGAAGGUACCAGAAGAAUAAGCACCGGCUAACUCCGUGCCAGCAGCCGCGGUAAUACGGAGGGUGCAAGCGUUAUCCGGAUUUAUUGGGUUUAAAGGGUCCGUAGGCGGAUUAAUCAGUCAGUGGUGAAAUCCCGCAGCUUAACUGUGGAACUGCCAUUGAUACUGUUAGUCUUGAGUGAUGUUGAAGUGGCUGGAAUGUGUAGUGUAGCGGUGAAAUGCUUAGAUAUUACGCAGAACACCAAUUGCGAAGGCAGGUCACUAAGUAUCAACUGACGCUGAUGGACGAAAGCGUGGGGAGCGAACAGGAUUAGAAACCCCGGUAGUCC
This 445-nucleotide ribosomal RNA is filed under the name uncultured Empedobacter sp. RNAcentral describes it as "bacterial SSU rRNA". It matches the Rfam family "Bacterial small subunit ribosomal RNA", at positions 354 to 796 of the family's 1533-position model. The record is from RNAcentral. Lineage: Bacteria; Pseudomonadati; Bacteroidota; Flavobacteriia; Flavobacteriales; Weeksellaceae.